Non-coding RNA from Phrynosoma platyrhinos (Desert horned lizard), 71 nucleotides. The record is from the annotation of a GenBank genome assembly. NCBI's taxonomy places the organism in Eukaryota, Metazoa, Chordata, Lepidosauria, Squamata, Phrynosomatidae.
UGUAGUGUAGUGUAGUGGUUUGAGCGCUGGGCUACGACUCUGGAGAUCGGGGUUCGAAUCCCGGCUUGCAA